GAUGAACGCUGGCGGCGUGCCUAAUACAUGCAAGUCGAGCGAACGGACGAGAAGCUUUCUUCUCUGAUGUUAGCGGCGGACGGGUGAGUAACACGUGGAUAACCUACCUAUAAGACUGGGAUAACUUCGGGAAACCGGAGCUAAUACCGGAUAAUAUUAUGAACCGCAUGGUUCAAAAGUGAAAGACGGUCUUCCUGUCACUUAUAGAUGAAUCCGCGCUGGAUUAGCUAGUUGGUAAGGUAACGGCUUACCAAGGCAACGAUGCAUAGCCGACCUGAGAGGAUGAUCAGCCACACUGGAACUGAGACACGGUCCAGACUCCUACGGGAGGCAGCAGUAGGGAAUAUUCCACAAUGGGCGAAAGCCUGACGGAGCAACGCCGCGUGAGUGAUGAAGGUCUUCGGAUCGUAAAACUCUGUUAUUAGGGAAGAACAUAUGUGUAAGUAACUGUGCACAUCUUGACGGUACCUAAUGAGAAAGCCACGGCUAACUUCGUG
RNAcentral lists this ribosomal RNA (497 nucleotides) under uncultured bacterium. Its description in RNAcentral is "partial 16S ribosomal RNA". It matches the Rfam family "Bacterial small subunit ribosomal RNA", at positions 28 to 507 of the family's 1533-position model. The record is from RNAcentral.